UGAGAAGCAAAAGAAAAGAAGAAAUCGGUUCUUCUUAGCUGAAAUGAAAAGAAGAAGAAAGGAAUGAAGCUAGAAAGGAGAGGGCAGCUGCAUGUAGUGGAAAACCAUGGAAUUUGUUUGCUUAGAAGUUAAAAUUUUCAAGUAGAAGGCUAACAAGGUAGGAGAAGGUGGUAGUAGACAAGGGAAAGAGCAAAUUGAAUAGGUGGAAUCGGUGUUGGGAACCUUGCUUAAGAGCAAAGAGGAUCAAAGUCGGAUAGGGGAAAAGAGAGUAAACGAAUAGCCGUGGACAUCUAAUCGUCGACCACUCCCGAGGUAAGUU
This is a long non-coding RNA of Gossypium arboreum, 319 nucleotides long. RefSeq lists it as uncharacterized. The transcript has 3 exons. NCBI's taxonomy places the organism in Eukaryota, Viridiplantae, Streptophyta, Magnoliopsida, Malvales, Malvaceae. The record is from RefSeq and is a predicted model, not a curated record.